GUCGAACGAGGAAAGCACCUUCGGGGUGCCGGUACUAGUGGCGCACGGGUGAGUAACGCGUGGAUAAUCUGCCCUCUGGCGGGGAAUAACCAGUCGAAAGAUUGGCUAAUACCGCAUAAGACCACAGUUUCUGCGGGAACAGUGGUUAAAGAUUUAUCACCAGAGGAUGAGUCCGCGUCCGAUUAGCUUGAUGGUGGGGUAAUGGCCUACCAUAGCUACGAUCGGUAGCUGGUCUGAGAGGAUGAUCAGCCACACUGGAACUGAGACACGGUCCAGACUCCUACGGGAGGCAGCAGUAGGGAAUCUUGCGCAAUGGGGGAAACCCUGACGCAGCGACGCCGCGUGAGUGAUGAAGGCCUUAGGGUUGUAAAGCUCUGUUCUAUGGGAACAAAAAAAUGAGUGUACCAUAGAAGAAAGGACCGGCUAACUCCGUGCCAGCAGCCGCGGUAAUACGGGGGGUCCUAGCGUUGUUCGGAAUCAUUGGGCGUAAAGCGGGUGUAGGCGGACUGAUAAGUCAGAAGUGAAAGCCCCGGGCUCAACCCGGGAAGUGCUUUUGAUACUGUUAGUCUUGAGUGUGGGAGAGGGUAGUAGAAUUCCUGGUGUAGUGGUGAAAUACGUAGAUAUCAGGAGGAACACCGGUGGCGAAGGCGGCUACCUGGCCCAACACUGACGCUCAGACCCGAAAGCGUGGGUAGCAAACAGGAUUAGAUACCCUGGUAGUCCACGCCGUAAACACUGGACACUUG
Molecule: ribosomal RNA, 746 nt
Filed under: uncultured bacterium
Lineage: Bacteria
Description: bacterial SSU rRNA
Rfam family: Bacterial small subunit ribosomal RNA
Source: RNAcentral